CUCGAUUUCAAUACAGCGACGCUGAAAUGUGUCUCUCCUUUGCGUUAAGUUGGCUUUGAGCGGCCAACGUACAUGGCGUAUCACCUAGAGGCGCGGGAUAUAAUUGUGGUCUGGGCCUCAGAUUUCUGUAUCUAUUUCAUGAUCAUUUGACAUUUCGUAUUGCAUUAUAUUUAAGAUCUCCAUAUUUCCAUAUAUCUCAUAUGGAUACCAAACGUGAAUUUUUAUUAAGGCGCUUAUAAAUAAAAUUGGAUAUGCUAAAUGACCCUUAUAAUGGCCCAGUGACAAGAAAAGCAGAAUCCUGGGAAGAUGAAAUAAAAGAGAUAGUGGGGAAAUAUUGGCCAAUAGAAGCGAAGACGAGAAAUGGAAGAAUCUGGAACAGACCUUCACUCCAUCGGAGGAUCUUCACUGUCAGGGCAAAGGAUGGCGGCGAAAGCCUGGAGCCAGUCGUACAGGUUGAUGUGCUUUCCGCACUCGCGGUGAAG
Pieris brassicae (large cabbage white) is the source of this 482-nucleotide long non-coding RNA. RefSeq lists it as uncharacterized. The record is from RefSeq and is a predicted model, not a curated record. The transcript is spliced from 3 exons. Lineage: Eukaryota; Metazoa; Arthropoda; Insecta; Lepidoptera; Pieridae.